Non-coding RNA from Youngiibacter fragilis 232.1, 97 nucleotides. The record is from Rfam. Lineage: Bacteria; Bacillati; Bacillota; Clostridia; Eubacteriales; Clostridiaceae.
AUCAUGAUACUUCUGUCCAGUCACAGCCCCCCUUGACCGGGGGACCACGCAAUGAGGGCAGCCAGCGGAGAUCCCGGUGGAGGUGAGAUUCCUAUGA